GAUGAACGCUAGCUACAGGCUUAACACAUGCAAGUCGAGGGGCAGCAUUUUAGUUUGCUUGCAAACUAAAGAUGGCGACCGGCGCACGGGUGAGUAACACGUAUCCAACCUGCCGAUAACUCGGGGAUAGCCUUUCGAAAGAAAGAUUAAUAUCCGAUAGUAUAUUAAAACCGCAUGGUUUUACUAUUAAAGAAUUUCGGUUAUCGAUGGGGAUGCGUUCCAUUAGUUUGUUGGCGGGGUAACGGCCCACCAAGACUACGAUGGAUAGGGGUUCUGAGAGGAAGGUCCCCCACAUUGGAACUGAGACACGGUCCAAACUCCUACGGGAGGCAGCAGUGAGGAAUAUUGGUCAAUGGACGAGAGUCUGAACCAGCCAAGUAGCGUGAAGGAUGACUGCCCUAUGGGUUGUAAACUUCUUUUAUAUGGGAAUAAAGUAUUCCACGUGUGGGAUUUUGUAUGUACCAUAUGAAUAAGGAUCGGCUAACUCCGUGCCAGCAGCCGCGGUAAUACGGAGGAUCCGAGCGUUAUCCGGAUUUAUUGGGUUUAAAGGGAGCGUAGGUGGAUUGUUAAGUCAGUUGUGAAAGUUUGCGGCUCAACCGUAAAAUUGCAGUUGAAACUGGCAGUCUUGAGUACAGUAGAGGUGGGCGGAAUUCGUGGUGUAGCGGUGAAAUGCUUAGAUAUCACGAAGAACUCCGAUUGCGAAGGCAGCUCAC
RNAcentral lists this ribosomal RNA (713 nucleotides) under uncultured Bacteroidales bacterium. RNAcentral's name for it is "bacterial SSU rRNA". It matches the Rfam family "Bacterial small subunit ribosomal RNA", at positions 28 to 729 of the family's 1533-position model. The record is from RNAcentral. Lineage: Bacteria; Pseudomonadati; Bacteroidota; Bacteroidia; Bacteroidales.